RNAcentral lists this ribosomal RNA (492 nucleotides) under uncultured bacterium. Its description in RNAcentral is "partial 16S ribosomal RNA". It matches the Rfam family "Bacterial small subunit ribosomal RNA", at positions 29 to 507 of the family's 1533-position model. The record is from RNAcentral.
AGUGAACGCUGGCGGUAGGCCUAACGCAUGCAAGUCGAGCGGCAGCACAGUAAGAGCUUGCUCUUACGGGUGGCGAGUGGCGGACGGGUGAGGAAUACAUCGGAAUCUACUUUUUCGUGGGGGAUAACGUAGGGAAACUUACGCUAAUACCGCAUACGACCUACGGGUGAAAGCAGGGGAUCUUCGGACCUUGCGCGAUUGAAUGAGCCGAUGUCGGAUUAGCUAGUUGGCGGGGUAAAGGCCCACCAAGGCGACGAUCCGUAGCUGGUCUGAGAGGAUGAUCAGCCACACUGGAACUGAGACACGGUCCAGACUCCUACGGGAGGCAGCAGUGUGGAAUAUUGGACAAUGGGCGCAAGCCUGAUCCAGCCAUACCGCGUGGGUGAAGAAGGCCUUCGGGUUGUAAAGCCCUUUUGUUGGGAAAGAAAAGCAGCAGGUUAAUACCCCGCUGUUCUGACGGUACCCAAAGAAUAAGCACCGGCUAACUUCGUG